GUGAGCCACCAUGUGGACUCUGGGCAUUGAGUCCUCUGGAAGAAUGGCUGAUGCUCUUAAUCACUGUACCAUCUCUACAGAAAGAGCUAUUUUCUUAACACUGUGUGGUGUCUGUGUUCAUGUGUGUGAGCUAAUGCACAUGUGGAGGCUUAGAGGUUGCUGUCAGAUGUCUUUCUAAAUCUCUUCUCCACUUUACCUUUUGCGACAGGAUCUCUCACUGAGCCUGGAGCAGCCUAGCCAAUGAAUUCCAGUGAUCUGCCAGUCUCUUCCUCCCCACUGCUGGGUUCCGCAGGCAAUUUCUCCACUUACGAGGUAAUUGUGAAGUAUAGCUGAGAGAGACAUUGAAGAAAUUAAUUCUGCUACAGAAAUUAAACUUGGUUGACUUCCCUGAGUCUACAAUGUUUGUCUUUUGAAAACAAGUCCAUUCGUCAGCAUCAUUCCUUGACACUUCAGUCUGUGGUUAAACUCUUCUCUUCUAAGAACAAUAGAAGAUCUGAGAAACAGUGUUUAAAGCAGCAUCUCCGAUUUGGCAGUUAACAAGGUUGUAUCUGACAUGUAUGCACAAUGACAAGCAGGAACCAACAGUCUGUGAGGAAAUGGUUGAUAACUGGUCUGGGACAUGGAAAAUAAAGUUGAGUCUUGACCAUUCUGUCCAAUCAACAAAGGGCCUAUUCAAAGGUUGAUGGAGACCUGGUACUGUGAGGCGGAAGAUACCUGGAAAACAUGAGCAUCUUUCAGUGCAAAACUAAAUUAUAAUGAUAUACCAUCCAACAUAAUAUAAAACAGGAAACCAUGAGUAAGGAAAAAUAAACGUAAUGAAAAA
Molecule: long non-coding RNA, 823 nt
Organism: Mus musculus (house mouse)
Lineage: Eukaryota; Metazoa; Chordata; Mammalia; Rodentia; Muridae
Product: predicted gene, 34361
Exons: 4
Source: RefSeq, a predicted model, not a curated record